AGGGUUUGAUCCUGGCUCAGAGCGAACGCUGGCGGCGUGGUUAAGGCAUGCAAGUCGUGCGGACAGUCCAAUUGGGUAACUGAUAGGAUUGUUAGCGGCGAAAGGGUGAGUAAUGCAUGGGUAACGUACCCCGGACACGGGAAUAGCCAGUCGAAAGGCUGGGUAAUGCCCGAUGAUGUCUUCAGGUCGCCUGGCCUGAGGACCAACAGAUGGCCUCUACAUGUAAGCUAUCGGUUUGGGAGCGGCUCAUGUCUUAUCAGCAAGUUGGUAGGGUAACGGCCUACCAAUGCUAAGACGAGUAGCUGGUCUGAGAGGAUGAUCAGCCACAUCGGGACUGAGACACUGCCCGGACCUCCACGGAGGGCUGCAGCGACGAAUCAUCCGCAAUGCGCGAAAGCGUGACGGUGCGACGCCGCGUGUGGGACGAAGCCCCUCGGGGUGUAAACCACUGUCGGGCCCAAGCAAGCAAAGGAGGCAAAUAGUCUCCGGCGUUGAGCUAAGCCAUAGGAAGCCUCGGCUAACUCUGUGCCAGCAGCCGCGGUAAGACAGAGGAGGCUAGCGUUGCUCGGAAUUACUGGGCUUAAAGGGUGUGUAGGCGGCUAGGUAAGCGUCGUGUGAAAUCCCUCGGCUUAACCGAGGAAUUGCUUGGCGAACUGCCUGGCUUGAGGCGCGCAGGGGCCAGUAGAACUCUGGGUGGAGCGGUGAAAUGCGUAGAUAUCCAGGGGAAUGCCGGUGGCGAAGGCGACUGGCUGGGCGCGUUCUGACGCUGAGGCACGAAAGCGUGGGGAGCAAACGGGAUUAGAUACCCCGGUAGUCCACGCUGUAAACGAUGUGCACUAGGUUCGAGAGCUUCUGACAGUUUUCGGGCCGAAGGGAAACUGAUAAGUGCACCGCCUGGGGAGUACGGCCGCAAGGCUAAAACUCAAAGGAAUUGACGGGGGCUCACACAAGCGGUGGAGCAUGUGGCUUAAUUCGAAGCAACGCGAAGAACCUUACCUGGGUUUGACAUGCUUGGAUGCCGCCCCCGAAAGGGGGUUUGGCUGCCUUUUAGGUGAAACUUGCACAGGUGCUGCAUGGCUGUCGUCAGCUCGUGCCGUGAGGUGUUGGGUUAAGUCCCGUAACGAGCGAAACCCUUGUCGCUAGUUGCCAGCGGUUCGGCCGGGCACUCUAGCGAGACUGCCGGCGUUAAGCCGGAGGAAGGUGGGGAUGACGUCAAGUCAUCAUGGCCUUUAUGUCCAGGGAUGCACACGUGCUACAAUGCCCGCUACAAAGCGAUGCCAAGCCGCGAGGUGGAGCAAAUCGCAUAAAAGCGGGCCCAGUUCGGAUCGCAGUCUGCAACUCGACUGCGUGAAGGUGGAAUCGCUAGUAAUCGCGUAUCAGCUAUGACGCGGU
RNAcentral lists this ribosomal RNA (1392 nucleotides) under metagenome. RNAcentral describes it as "bacterial SSU rRNA". It matches the Rfam family "Bacterial small subunit ribosomal RNA", at positions 8 to 1363 of the family's 1533-position model. The record is from RNAcentral.